UACGGAAGGCAGCAGUGGGGAAUAUUGCACAAUGGGCGCAAGCCUGAUGCAGCCAUGCCGCGUGUAUGAAGAAGGCCUUCGGGUUGUAAAGUACUUUCAGUCGUGAGGAAGGUGUUAAGGUUAAUAACCUUAGCAAUUGACGCUAGCGACAGAAGAAGCACCGGCUAACUCCGUGCCAGCAGCCGCGGUAAUACGGAGGGUUGCGAGCGUUAAUCGGAAUUACUGGGCGUAAAAGGGCACGCAGGCGGUUAAUUAAGUUGGAUGUGAAAUCCCCGGGCUUAACCUGGGAAUGGCAUUCAAGACUGGUUAGCUAGAGUCUUGUAGAGGGGGUUAGAAUUCCAUGUGUAGCGGUGAAAUGCGUAGAGAUGUGGAGGAAUACCGGUGGCGAAAGGCGGCCCCCUGGACAAAGACUGACGCUCAUGUGCGAAAGCGUGGGGAGCAAACAGGAUUAGAUACC
RNAcentral lists this ribosomal RNA (457 nucleotides) under uncultured bacterium. RNAcentral describes it as "bacterial SSU rRNA". It matches the Rfam family "Bacterial small subunit ribosomal RNA", at positions 340 to 786 of the family's 1533-position model. The record is from RNAcentral.